UUCCAGAAAGCUUGGUUAACUUACCAUUUAAUAAAUCAUAACCUCUGGGUUGCUUUACCCCAAACAGGCAUAUUAUGAGUUCCAAAACACCUGAGAAGAGUUAGUUUAAUCAACCUCCAACUGGUUAUCCAGAGUUUAUGCGCGUGCACGUUGCAUAUAUAAAGACAUUUUCAAUGGAUCGCCGAUUUCACAAGUCACCAUGGAAACUCAAAGUGAAAAAAAGAGAGCGGCAUAUUUCACAGAGGUGGAGUUGGAGGUUUUAAUGAACACUUAUGAGGAAUUUAAGCCAAUAAUAUAAAAAAGAACCAAUACAGCUGCAUCAGCUAAAGCAAGAGAGUUGGCUUGGCAAAAAAUAACGGACAGAGUAAAUGCGGGAGUGUAGUUCUGUGGCUCCAGAAGGAUUACACCUUAUUAAAUAAGAAAUAUACAUUAUUAUUUUAAACUAAAGAAAUAAAUGGCAGGAAAAGUAAAUGCUUUCAUAGUGAUAUAACAUAUUCAAAAGGAUGUAUAAGUCAUACUUCAUUAUUUUGCAUUAUAAUAAAACGGGAGCCAAUAUCAAAUUUGUAAUUUAAGCCAAGUCAAAAUGAAACACAAAAACAUUCUGCAAAAAGGUAAUAUUUGAUUACACAAUUACUGAACUAUUAUUAUAACAGGAUUUAGUAUAUUCAUUCUGUCAUGUAGCUAAUAGAAAGAAGACUGAAGCCCGUCUAACUGGCGGGGCCCACCACCACCUCCCCUCACCCCAUCUGAGGACCGACCAGUGGUUGCUGGCAUUCCAGGGGGCAGUUCCUCGCACACACCAUGCACUACAAGUGAUGGUGAAAAAAUGGUGAAAUAUACUGAUGUAUGGAUUGCAUUAUUGGACCCUCCAGAAAGAACACAGUCUGUCACAGUUGAUGAAGAUGAUGAAGAUGACAAUGAAGAGACCACAUCUGCUGUGACAGAAGUGGACAAUGCUGGUAGACCCACUGAGGUAUGAUACAUACCAUUAUAAUGUAUGGCCCCUUUUUGCAUUAGAGUAACAAACUGUCAUUGUCCUUUCACAGUACAUACCUAGGGAUUUGCCCACACAUGAGGGUAAGAAUUUGUGUCCAGGUGUCCAUAUUUGAAUUUUAUUAUCUGACCAAACAAUCUCAUUCAUUACAUUUGUUCCACCUUCCUAGUUGA
Molecule: long non-coding RNA, 1167 nt
Organism: Tachysurus fulvidraco (yellow catfish)
Lineage: Eukaryota; Metazoa; Chordata; Actinopteri; Siluriformes; Bagridae
Exons: 3
Source: RefSeq, a predicted model, not a curated record